UGGGAAAAGCUCAACUUUGAAAUCUGGCAGCUUUGCUGUCCGAGUUGUAGUCUCGAGAAGCGUUUUCCGCGCCGAAGCAUGUAUGAGUCUGUUGGAAUACAGCGCCAUAGAGGGUGAGA
This 119-nucleotide ribosomal RNA is filed under the name Microsporomyces sp. RNAcentral's name for it is "partial large subunit ribosomal RNA". The record is from RNAcentral. Lineage: Eukaryota; Fungi; Basidiomycota; Cystobasidiomycetes; Cystobasidiales; Microsporomycetaceae.